CGGUAUGUAGGUGGAAUGAACAGCAGGCAUUGAAGAUAUUCUUCGUGUGAAGGGUUUAGGUAGAACUAACCACAAAUGAAUUGAAGGGUUAGAAUUGGUCUAAUCAUAGUGCUAUCGAUAUAAUUGCUAUAUGAUUAGUAACAUAUGUCGGUACAAAUGUCGCACUGUAUGUACUCUAAAUAAACUGAACAAGUAGCGUAUAGUGACAUUAAGAAACCAUGGUAUUGCUGUCGUUAGGAGUUGCAACGAAUACUUGCCUUGUUAAAGUUUUUAUUAACUUCUAAUUGUUUUUGAGUGUCGAAAACGAAGUAAAUUUGAGUAAAACAUCAGGAUUAAUUC
RNAcentral lists this long non-coding RNA (339 nucleotides) under Schizosaccharomyces pombe (fission yeast). The record is from RNAcentral. Lineage: Eukaryota; Fungi; Ascomycota; Schizosaccharomycetes; Schizosaccharomycetales; Schizosaccharomycetaceae.